GCCUUCGUAGCUCAAUUGGAUAGAGUACUAGUCUUCGGAACUAGGUGUUGUGGGUUCGAAUCCCUCCGGAGGUA
This 74-nucleotide transfer RNA is filed under the name Anaerolineales bacterium HSG6. RNAcentral's name for it is "tRNA-Arg". It matches the Rfam family "tRNA". From Rfam's summary of the family: Transfer RNA (tRNA) molecules are approximately 80 nucleotides in length. Their secondary structure includes four short double-helical elements and three loops (D, anti-codon, and T loops). Further hydrogen bonds mediate the characteristic L-shaped molecular structure. tRNAs have two regions of fundamental functional importance: the anti-codon, which is responsible for specific mRNA codon recognition, and the 3' end, to which the tRNAs corresponding amino acid is attached (by aminoacyl-tRNA synthetases). tRNAs cope with the degeneracy of the genetic code in two manners: having more than one tRNA (with a specific anti-codon) for a particular amino acid; and 'wobble' base-pairing, i.e. permitting non-standard base-pairing at the 3rd anti-codon position. RNAcentral also lists the same sequence under 2 other names. Lineage: Bacteria; Bacillati; Chloroflexota; Anaerolineae; Anaerolineales. The record is from RNAcentral.